Molecule: non-coding RNA, 297 nt
Organism: Nylanderia fulva
Lineage: Eukaryota; Metazoa; Arthropoda; Insecta; Hymenoptera; Formicidae
Source: RefSeq, a predicted model, not a curated record
AUAUAGUAUUAGAAUUCAAAAAUUUUGAUUGAACUUUUGUAAGUUUACGCAGCAAUGAAUAACAAAAUAUAUCUAUUUCUGUUAAUUGUUGUUUUUGCGGUUGUGAUUUCCGAUGUUAUAGCUAAUCCAGCAGCUGAAGCAAAUACUGUUUUACUCUCACGAUCUAAGAGAAGUCUAAUUGAAGUUAUUAUGGCGCUCAGUUCACACAUUAUGUGCUUAUUGUUACCUAUACCCUGCUUUAUAAUGCACUUUUAUCAUUAUUUCUGUGAUGAAUAAAACUAAUAUUUAAAUCUCAAA